UUGAACGCUGGCGGCAGGCCUAACACAUGCAAGUCGAGCGGAUGAAGGGAGCUUGCUCCUGGAUUCAGCGGCGGACGGGUGAGUAAUGCCUAGGAAUCUGCCUGGUAGUGGGGGAUAACGUCCGGAUACGGGCGCUAAUACCGCAUACGUCCUGAGGGAGAAAGUGGGGGAUCUUCGGACCUCACGCUAUCAGAUGAGCCUAGGUCGGAUUAGCUAGUUGGUGGGGUAAAGGCCUACCAAGGCGACGAUCCGUAACUGGUCUGAGAGGAUGAUCAGUCACACUGGAACUGAGACACGGUCCAGACUCCUACGGGAGGCAGCAGUGGGGAAUAUUGGACAAUGGGCAAAAGCCUGAUCCAGCCAUGCCGCGUGUGUGAAGAAGGUCUUCGGAUUGUAAAGCACUUUAAGUUGGGAGGAAGGGCAGUAAGUUAAUACCUUGCUGUUUUGACGUUACCAACAGAAUAAGCACCGGCUAACUUCGUG
This 483-nucleotide ribosomal RNA is filed under the name uncultured bacterium. RNAcentral's name for it is "partial 16S ribosomal RNA". It matches the Rfam family "Bacterial small subunit ribosomal RNA", at positions 30 to 507 of the family's 1533-position model. The record is from RNAcentral.